Molecule: unclassified non-coding RNA, 329 nt
Filed under: soil metagenome
Description: partial contains 5.8S ribosomal RNA, internal transcribed spacer 2, and large subunit ribosomal RNA
Rfam family: 5.8S ribosomal RNA (bases 1-120)
Source: RNAcentral
GAUGAAGAACGCAGCGAAAUGCGAUAAGUAGUGUGAAUUGCAGAAUUCAGUGAAUCAUCGAAUCUUUGAACGCACAUUGCGCCCCUUGGUAUCCCGAGGGGCAUGCCUGUUCGAGCGCCAUUUCACCACUCAAGCCUGGCUUGGUGUUGGGCGACGUCCUCUUUGGGGACGCGCCUCGAAACGCUCGGCGGCGUGGCACCGGCUUUAAGCGUAGCAGAAUCUUUCGCUUUGGAAGUCGGGGCCCCGUCUGCCGGAAGACCUGCUCGCAAGGUUGACCUCGGAUCAGGCAGGGAUACCCGCUGAACUUAAGCAUAUCAAUAAGCGGAGGA